GGGGAUUUAGCUCAGUGGUAGAGUGCUUGCCUAGCAAGCGCAAGGCCCUGGGUUCAAUCCCCAGCUCCG
Rattus norvegicus (Norway rat) is the source of this 69-nucleotide non-coding RNA. Lineage: Eukaryota; Metazoa; Chordata; Mammalia; Rodentia; Muridae. The record is from Rfam.